UGCAAGUCGUGCGAGAAGUCACCUUCGGGUGGCGAGUAAAGCGGCGCACGGGUGAGUAACGCGUGGGUAAUCUGCCUUCGGGUCCGGGACAACUCCGGGAAACUGGAGCUAAUACCGGAUAAGACCACGGCGUCUUCGGACACUGUGGAAAAAGGUGGCCUCUUCUUGAAAGCUACCGCCCGUAGAUGAGCCCGCGUCCCAUUAGCUUGUUGGUGAGGUAACGGCUCACCAAGGCGACUAUGGGUAGCUGGUCUGAGAGGAUGAUCAGCCACACUGGGACUGAGACACGGCCCAGACUCCUACGGGAGGCAGCAGUCGGGAAUUUUGGGCAAUGGGCGCAAGCCUGACCCAGCAACGCCGCGUGAGGGAUGAAGGCCCUCGGGUCGUAAACCUCUGUCGGAAGGGAAGAAAGGUGGAGAGUCGAACAGGCUCUUCGCUUGACGGUACCUUCAAAGGAAGCACCGGCUAACUCCGUGCCAGCAGCCGCGGUAAUACGGAGGGUGCAAGCGUUGUUCGAAAUUACUGGGCGUAAAGAGCGUGUAGGCGGCUUGGUCAGUCGGAUGUGAAAUCCCGGGGCCCAACCCCGGAACUGCAUCCGAUACUGCCUGGCUUGAGUCUCGGAGAGGAAGGCGGAAUUCCGGGUGUAGAGGUGAAAUUCGUAGAUAUCCGGAGGAACACCAGCGGCGAAGGCGGCCUUCUGGACGAUGACUGACGCUGAGACGCGAAAGCGUGGGUAACAAACAGGAUUAAUACCCUGGUAGUCCACGCCGUAAACGUUGAGUGCUGGACGUCGGAGGUAUUGACCCCUUCGGUGUCGGACUAACGCGUU
Molecule: ribosomal RNA, 829 nt
Filed under: uncultured bacterium
Lineage: Bacteria
Description: bacterial SSU rRNA
Rfam family: Bacterial small subunit ribosomal RNA
Source: RNAcentral